GAUGAACGCUGGCGGCGUGCCUAACACAUGCAAGUCGAGCGUGAACCCUGCGAAUGAAACUUCGGUCGAUUUUGCAGGGGGAAAGCGGCGGACGGGUGAGUAACGCGUAGGUAACCUGCCCCAUACUGAGGGAUAGCCUCGGGAAACCGGGAUUAAUACCUCAUAACACCGUAUAUUCGCAUGGAUGUGCGGUCAAAGACUUUAUCGGUAUGGGAUGGGCCUGCGUCUGAUUAGCUGGUUGGUGGGGUAACGGCCUACCAAGGCGACGAUCAGUAGCCGACCUGAGAGGGUGAUCGGCCACAUUGGAACUGAGACACAGUCCAAACUCCUACGGGAGGCAGCAGUGGGGAAUAUUGCACAAUGGGCGAAAGCCUGAUGCAGCAACGCCGCGUGAGCGAAGAAGGCCUUUGGGUCGUAAAGCUCUGUCGGGUAGGAAGAUAAUGACGGUACUACCCGAGGAAGCCCCGGCUAACUACGUG
This 479-nucleotide ribosomal RNA is filed under the name uncultured bacterium. RNAcentral describes it as "bacterial SSU rRNA". It matches the Rfam family "Bacterial small subunit ribosomal RNA", at positions 28 to 507 of the family's 1533-position model. The record is from RNAcentral.